GCGGCGGACGGGUGAGUAACACGUGGGUAACCUGCCUGUAAGACUGGGAUAACUCCGGGAAACCGGAGCUAAUACCGGAUAGUUCCUUGAACCGCAUGGUUCAAGGAUGAAAGACGGUUUCGGCUGUCACUUACAGAUGGACCCGCGGCGCAUUAGCUAGUUGGUGAGGUAACGGCUCACCAAGGCGACGAUGCGUAGCCGACCUGAGAGGGUGAUCGGCCACACUGGGACUGAGACACGGCCCAGACUCCUACGGGAGGCAGCAGUAGGGAAUCUUCCGCAAUGGACGAAAGUCUGACGGAGCAACGCCGCGUGAGUGAUGAAGGUUUUCGGAUCGUAAAGCUCUGUUGUUAGGGAAGAACAAGUGCAAGAGUAACUGCUUGCACCUUGACGGUACCUAACCAGAAAGCCACGGCUAACUACGUGCCAGCAGCCGCGGUAAUACGUAGGUGGCAAGCGUUGUCCGGAAUUAUUGGGCGUAAAAGGGCUCGCAGGCGGUUUCUUAAGUCUGAUGUGAAAGCCCCCGGCUCAACCGGGGAGGGUCAUUGGAAAACUGGGAAACUUGAGUGCAGAAGAGGAGAGUGGAAUUCCACGUGUAGCGGUGAAUGCGUAGAGAUGUGGAGGAACACCU
Molecule: ribosomal RNA, 631 nt
Filed under: Bacillus sp. ASBCFS07
Lineage: Bacteria; Bacillati; Bacillota; Bacilli; Caryophanales; Bacillaceae
Description: bacterial SSU rRNA
Rfam family: Bacterial small subunit ribosomal RNA
Source: RNAcentral